RNAcentral lists this microRNA precursor (76 nucleotides) under Pelobates cultripes (western spadefoot toad). The record is from RNAcentral. Lineage: Eukaryota; Metazoa; Chordata; Amphibia; Anura; Pelobatidae.
GUUAUAUACACACACUACAUUAUAUACACACACUACACAAACACACUGUGUAUGUAAUGCAGUGUGUGUGUUUGCA